This 460-nucleotide ribosomal RNA is filed under the name uncultured bacterium. Its description in RNAcentral is "partial 16S ribosomal RNA". It matches the Rfam family "Bacterial small subunit ribosomal RNA", at positions 338 to 795 of the family's 1533-position model. The record is from RNAcentral.
CCUACGGGUGGCAGCAGUGAGGAAUAUUGGUCAAUGGACGAGAGUCUGAACCAGCCAAGUAGCGUGAAGGAUGACUGCCCUAUGGGUUGUAAACUUCUUUUAUAUGGGAAUAAAACGUUCCACGUGUGGGAUUUUGUAUGUACUAUAUGAAUAAGGAUCGGCUAACUCCGUGCCAGCAGCCGCGGUAAUACGGAGGAUCCGAGCGUUAUCCGGAUUUAUUGGGUUUAAAGGGAGCGUAGGUGGGUUGUUAAGUCAGUUGUGAAAGUUUGCGGCUCAACCGUAAAAUUGCAGUUGAGACUGGCAGUCUUGAGUACAGUAGAGGUAGGCGGAAUGCGUGGUGUAGCGGUGAAAUGCUUAGAUAUCACGAAGAACCCCGAUUGCGAAGGCAGCUUACGAAUCCGUGACUGACGCUGAUGCACGAAAGUGUGGGUAUCAAACAGGAUGAGAUACCCGGGUAGUC